This is a long non-coding RNA of Biomphalaria glabrata, 2620 nucleotides long. RefSeq lists it as uncharacterized. The transcript is spliced from 4 exons. The record is from RefSeq and is a predicted model, not a curated record. Lineage: Eukaryota; Metazoa; Mollusca; Gastropoda; Planorbidae.
GAGUCAUCCUUUUUGCCAGCCAGAGUGUUAAUUGGCAAAAGUAAAAAAUUCAUUAUUUUAAUUUUUUUAGUAAAUAUUCACAACUAUAUCUUUUAUAUAAUAAUAUAUUUUUUUAAUAAUAAUAUCUUUUAUAUAGACAUGCUUUAAUAGAUAUAAUAAAUGAUUAACGCGGCCCUACCAAUAUGGGUAUAUUAAUACUUAAAUCUGGGUAUUUUAAAUUUCGAAUGCGCAUUUUUAAAAAACCGAACUUAUCUAUAGAUCUCUUAUAUCUAGAAUAAUCUAGAUCUACAACACCCAGACUUAGACUAUGGUUCUAGAUCUAUUUAAAAGAUAUUUUUUAAAAAAUAACUCAACAGAUCUAAUAAAGUCAUGAUUUCCACUCUAUUUUCUCUAGAUCUAGACCAUACAUGAGUUAUUAACAAGUAGAACCAUGCCAACCAGUUCUGAUGAUGUACCAGAAUGGCUCAAGGAUCAUACUUAUACUAUUUCUACUCUCUGGGCAGACAUUAAUAAUAUUGGCAUCCAUUCAAUAUUUAUUUUAUGUUUGGAAAUGCAAGAAAAAGGCAUGCAUUCCUGUCAAGUCAAUGAUUGGUUGCACCUCUUAAAGAUAACUUUCUGUUAUGAGAAAAGAUGAGAUUCUUGGACUCCUGCAUAGCACCACCAGAAAGGAAAAUCCCAUCAUGUUGCAAAAUAAAAGUCUUGGACCAAUUUUAAUUUAAGAUAUAUAUAUUAUACUGUAAGCUCUAUACAUAUUUAUGUAUAUCCUGUCAUUCAGCCUACAGGUUUGGAUUUAGUAUUUCUUUAAAUCUGUUUGAUAUUGUACUUGAAAACUAUUAAUCUGAGCCCCAUUAAAACAAUAGGGAGUGCAGUGAACGAGUGGUAAAGCACUUGGCUUCUGAACUGAGGGUUCCUGGGUUCAAUUAAGACUGGGAUUUUCAAUUUCAGAAUUCAAAAGGCUAGGGAUACAUGGCAAUAGUAAGGAAUAAGUAAAGGCAGUUUGGGGAUCCAUGGCUGAAUGGUUAAGUCAUGGGUUUGAAUCUCUGUGAAGACUCGGAUUAAAAAUUUUUAGAUUUUUGGGUGCCCCUGAGUCCACCUAACUCUAAUGGGUAGCUGACUUUUGUUUUGGAAAGUAAAGAUGGUUGGUUGUUGUGCUGGCCACAUGAUGCACUGGCCAAAGAAUCAAAUGACCUUAACAUCAUCUGCCCUAUAGAUUGUGACGUCUGAAAUGGGAUAUUUUUUCAAAAGGUGGUUGGUUGUUGUGCUGGGUACAUGACACCCUCGCUAACCAUGGGGCACAGAAACUGAUAAACUUUAUAUCAUCUGCCCCAUAGAUUGCAAGAUAUGUAAGGGAAAUUUUACUUUUUUAAAAUUAAAAUAAGAAUCUAUCAAAAGUAAACAUAAAAUAUGGUGCAUUCUCCUUAAAACUAAAACCUAGUGCGAAGGUUUAAAAUGUUGGCAAAAAAAAGCAACAUCAUAUAUUCUUAAUUCCCUUUGCAAAACUUACUGAGAAGAACAUGCAUGUUGUUCCCUCAUAAGUUUCUUGACAGAGGAAAUCUUGUUUAUAUUAGAUUUGAAUUAAGCAAAUUAAGAAAAAAAUUAUAAUCAUUAUUUCAAAUGGUUGUAUCUAAACCUUAUGAAUUAUUUUUCUGUUAUAAGUAUAUUGAGAUUAAUGGAUAAUCAUGAAAUUGUUAAAUAAUUGCUGCUAUCAUUCCAUUGACUAAAGAACCAUAAUUUUUUUUUUUUUUAAAUUAAUUUCAAAAUGAUUUUUUUCAAGCAUAGAGUUCAUAUAGAUCUUGAGUGAAUUUUUUUUUUAUUUGACUAAUGCUUCAAUUUUAUUGUAUCAUAUUAGUUGUUAAUUUUUAUUACCCAGAAUAUUUAAAAAAUGAGUACACUAUUUUCAUGUAAUAAUGUAACUUGGUAUUCACACAAUGCUCAAAAUACACCAUAAUCUUUAGGCCAUACAGAUUUGUAUAAAUUAACUUGUUUAAAUACAUUGUAAAUGUAUAUUGUUUGGAUAAGAAUAAAGUUUUUUCUGUAGACAAUUAUUGUUCAAGAUUUGUUGAUGCUCCUGCUUAAUCAAUUAUAUAUACAGGUCAUUAGUUUUAACACGUCUGAUAAUAAAUGACAGUACAAGUUAGUGAAUGAAAAUUUGUCAUUAUUUCAGCUGCUUUAGUCCUACAUCACUGUGAGGUACCAGUACUUUGAUUGUGUCAUAUAACAAUUUAAAGCAACAUUUUGAAAUGAAUAGUCUGUAGAAUUGACAGUAAAUACAUUUAAGUGAUGGGCUGUGAUCUGCUUGAAUUGGGAGCUGAUCAUGUAUUGAAUUUGUGUUUUUGAUCUUUACUUCAAGUAAAUGUUAAUGAGCAAUUAAUUUUUAAUGAAUAAAUAAUUUAAAAAUAAAUACAAAAGAACCAUAAACAUCUACUUUAGUUUAAUAAUUUUUUUUCAUCAGAACAGAAUUUCCAACUUUGCAUUCUUAAAAUAAAAUAUAAUUUAUUUAGAGUAGAGUCAGAACACAAAAUCAUAGUUUUAAAAUAUUAAGUAAAUUAAGCUAAGCUGUGAUCUCUUAUAAACAUUUGUAUAUAGACUAUACACAAUUUAAUUAUUAUUUUUCAUCAAA